Molecule: non-coding RNA, 1727 nt
Organism: Camellia sinensis
Lineage: Eukaryota; Viridiplantae; Streptophyta; Magnoliopsida; Ericales; Theaceae
Source: RefSeq, a predicted model, not a curated record
GUGGCUAAAAUUGCCCAAACUUCUCUUGCCAAACGGCACCUUAGGGUUCUAUAGUCUAUGCGAUUGUGUCUCUCUUUCCAGAAACACAGACAGACUCCCAAAAGCCUGAAGAACUCCUUCGAAGCUAUUGAAGAGGUUUAAUCGAAGGUGCUGAUCGAUUCUCUCCUUCAAAGAUCACAUUUCGAACGAAGACACAUCAUUUUUCAUUUUUUUCCCCCAGAUUUCUGUUUCCUCUUUUUUCAUUUUUUUUCCCUAGAUUUUUGUACUCCUUCUUGGCAGCAAACGACCUCCUCCGCUCCAAUGACGACUCCUCUUCUCGUCAGAGACGAAGAGAGAGGGAACAACAAACAGAUUGAGAGAUGAAGAGAGAGGGAAGCAGAGACGAGACGAAGAGAGAGAAGCGUAGAGACAAAGACGAUCGAGAUCGAGAUCAGCAGUGAGAGAAGAGAGUGACGAAGAUGAUCGAAGCCCUCAGAGACGAAGACGAUGACGAUGACGACUGUGAUCAAUAGUGAGAGCCCUAAUCGUGAUCGGUGAUCGAAGCCAACAGCGACCAGCAAAUUCAAGGCCAAAAGUAGAGCCUAAAAGAACAACUGAAAGGGGUAUGCUUUUCAUUUCUUGGAAUUUAUUAGAAUUUCUUUACAUUUCCCUUAUAUUUUAGUUUUCAUUAUGCCCACAACUUUAAUACCUUAUACAGCAAGGUUGAUGCAUCAUCCAAGGGCUAAAGAAGGAAGAAGAACAUGUAUGUUUUGUUUUUUUAAUAGUAUUGGCGCAAAUUACGGCAGUUGCAUAUGCUUAUCUUGCAAGUUCUCUGUACAUAUUUUUACUUUUUUUGGUAAUUGUUUAAGCCCUUUAUACUUUUAUUUUUAUCAAUGACUGGACGCAUGUCAUACUUCUUAGUUGAAGUCCAUUUUGUUUUACAAUUUAAAGUCACAAGCAAUGUAAUUGUAUCACUUUCUUUGUCCAUUGUGCUUUCUGUUUUGUGUUUGGUAUGAUGAUGUCGAUGAUUCUGCAUUCUUUAAAUUGGUUUGUGUGUUUGUGUGGGCGCUAGCGAGCAUGUCUGUGAGUUCAAUUUUGGGUAAAAGGAAAACUGAAAAGGGUAUGCUUUUCAUUUCUUAGAAUUGAUUAGAAUUUGUUCACAUUUCUUUUUUUUUUUUUUUUUAAGUUUUCAUGACACUUGCAACUGUAAAACCUUUUGCAGCAAGGCCAAUGCGUUAGCCAAAGGCUAAAGAUGGAAAAGAAAUAGAAGUGGAUGAGGGGAUGAAAACUGAGAUGGGCACUGAGGUUGACCAAGCACUUCACAAACCAGAAGAACAGAUAUACCAAGUUUACUUUGACGCAAGUGGUGGUGACAAAGCUGCCUUGCCUGAUCACAAGAAAUUCCUCAAAGAUGUUUUUUGCAGUCGUGCAUCUGAAUUGGACACCACGGUAAACCCCAUCAAUGGCCAUGUAUUUGUUGUCUCGCUGACAGAGGAGGCGGGGAUGAAGCAUUGGGGAUUAAAAGGUGGUAUCCAGAAGAAUUGGUGCAGUAGAAUAUUUGUCCAUGAAUUUUGAAAAAUGAUUCAGUCCUCUAAAAAAAGACCACUAAUAGAGCUCUAAUUUGUCUUUUUCUUCCCCUUCUUUUGUCUUUUACUUCACUGUUUGUUUGUUUGUUUGUUUUUUUUUUUAUUUUAUUGCUUGACAACUCACUAGAGCUGUACGGCUGCACCUCUAAUUAGAGGUCUGUA